AUUGAACGCUGGCGGCAGGCCUAACACAUGCAAGUCGAACGAGUGGCGGACGGGUUAGUAAUGUCUGGGAAACUGCCUGAUGGCGGGGGAUAACUACUGGAAACGGUAGCUAAUACCGCAUACCCUCAGAUGUGCCCCGCUGGGCUUAGCUUGUUGGUGGGGUAACGGCUCACCAAGGCGACGAUCCCUAGCUGGUCUGAGAGGAUGACCAGCCAAACGGGAACUGAGAAACGGUCCAGACUACUACGGGAGGAAGCAGUGGGGAAUAUUGCACAAUGGGCGCAAGCCUGAUGCAGCCAUGCCGCGUGUAUGAAGAAGGCCUUCGGGUUGUAAAGUACUUUCAGCGGGGAGGCGUUACCCGCAGAAGAAGCACCGGCUAACUCCGUGCCAGCAGCCGCGGUAAUAC
This 406-nucleotide ribosomal RNA is filed under the name uncultured bacterium. RNAcentral describes it as "partial 16S ribosomal RNA". It matches the Rfam family "Bacterial small subunit ribosomal RNA", at positions 30 to 526 of the family's 1533-position model. The record is from RNAcentral.